GCGGGGCAAGGAGGGAAAAUAUCCAAAGUCUAAUGUUAAAGGAUAUUCUGAUCUUCUGGUGCCGGGUCUGUGGGGCUGAGGUGGAUCCGGGGGACAGAGCAUGGCCGGAAGCUCUGAGUGGAGGUCCCAGGGCCAGCCAAGGUCCUUGGCCUGGGUCCUGACAGCAGAAGCCUAUGGAGCAGCCGGAGUGAUUCCCAGAACGGAAGUGAGGGAGCCCCCACCAUGGCAGACCCACGGCCCCACCCAGCCUGGCCAGAUGAGGCUGCCCCCGCAGCCGAGCCUGCCCGGCUUCCCGCCUCCGGCCUGGCACCAGGAGCAGCCCAGGAAGAGACGCACCCUUCUCAAGGAGCUGGGCGCCUUCCAUGUUGUCUUUGCUCUACUGUACUUGCUCUUUGGGAGUUGCCUGGUCUCUACGGUCGAGAGUCUUCACCUGGUGGUGCUGAAGUCUUGGUAUCCAUUCUGGGGGGCUGCCUCGUUCCUCAUUUCAGGGAUCUUGGUGAUCAUGACAGAGCUGCUUUCGAAGACUUACCUGAAGACGCUUUGCCUGAUAGCACAUGCCAUCAGCUUCUUCUGCGUGCUAUCUGGCCUCUUUGUCAUUGCCAAAGAUCUCUUUCUGGAGAGUCCCUUUGAGUUCCCGAUCUGGACACCAUACCCCAACAGCACAGUCCACAUCCAGAGGCUGGAGCUGGCCCUGCUCUGCUUCACGGUCCUGGAGUUCUUCCUGCUGGGCUCCACGAUGGUCACAGUGUGCCAGGAUGACCGCCCGUCCGCAGAGAAAGAUGACUUGUCCCUUGUUCCUGACACACCGGUGGCAUUCAGGCGGCAGCCGAUGAGUCCUCCACCAUCCUAUGAGGAUGUGACUUUAGGUGGCAUAUAAGACAAGCAAAAGCAGAGGUGAGGACGGGUCCGCACUGUGCUGUGUCUGAAGGCAGACUACCACGAGCAGCCAGAACACAGCCCCCAGCCUCUCUGAUGCUGGCCUCCAGUGGGGGAAGUUCCUGCACUGACCCACGUGACCCUCCCCUGUGGACUUAAAGGGGCAUCGUGGGCAAGCGUUAGGGAACGUGAUCAAAACAGACAUGACCGUCAAUGACCCAGGAGCUGGACCCCGGCACAAGGAGGCUCCUCACCCCACCGCUGUCCUUGGAAUGUGGGUUCCAUUUGACCUUCCUGCCCCCAGAAGCUGCUCCAAGGCCACAGCCUUGAGGUGCGAUGUGAUGAGAACACCUGCACGUUGUACGUGACUCAGUCCAGUUAGGGCCUCCUGAUAAACUUCUAAGAUUUGGAGGGUGGGUGUGCCGCCCAAGG
RNA transcript from Zalophus californianus (California sea lion), 1308 nucleotides. It is a transcript of the gene named membrane spanning 4-domains A10, with no coding region annotated. The record is from RefSeq and is a predicted model, not a curated record. NCBI's taxonomy places the organism in Eukaryota, Metazoa, Chordata, Mammalia, Carnivora, Otariidae. The transcript has 9 exons.